RNAcentral lists this ribosomal RNA (496 nucleotides) under Salmonella enterica subsp. enterica serovar Saintpaul. RNAcentral describes it as "partial 23S ribosomal RNA". It matches the Rfam family "Bacterial large subunit ribosomal RNA", at positions 1292 to 1781 of the family's 2925-position model. The record is from RNAcentral. Lineage: Bacteria; Pseudomonadati; Pseudomonadota; Gammaproteobacteria; Enterobacterales; Enterobacteriaceae.
GAAUGCUGACAUAAGUAACGAUAAAGCGGGUGAAAAGCCCGCUCGCCGGAAGACCAAGGGUUCCUGUCCAACGUUAAUCGGGGCAGGGUGAGUCGACCCCUAAGGCGAGGCCGAAAGGCGUAGUCGAUGGGAAACGGGUUAAUAUUCCCGUACUUGGUGUUACUGCGAAGGGGGGACGGAGAAGGCUAUGUUGGCCGGGCGACGGUUGUCCCGGUUUAAGCGUGUAGGUGUGUGUUCCAGGUAAAUCCGGUUCACUUUAACACUGAGGCGUGACGACGAGGCACUACGGUGCUGAAGCAACAAAUGCCCUGCUUCCAGGAAAAGCCUCUAAGCAUCAGGUAACAUCAAAUCGUACCCCAAACCGACACAGGUGGUCAGGUAGAGAAUACCAAGGCGCUUGAGAGAACUCGGGUGAAGGAACUAGGCAAAAUGGUGCCGUAACUUCGGGAGAAGGCACGCUGAUAUGUAGGUGAAGUGAUUUACUCAUGGAGCUGAA